Molecule: small RNA, 570 nt
Filed under: Pan troglodytes (chimpanzee)
Lineage: Eukaryota; Metazoa; Chordata; Mammalia; Primates; Hominidae
Description: retained intron
Source: RNAcentral
ACUCUACUAAGCAUAGUACAAGGUUGGUAAUUGGAGAAUUUCAGCAAGAGUAAUGUCACUUUUUUCUAAUAAAACAGGUCUCACUGUCUCUAAGCCAGGCCUGAUCACCUGCCUGGAGCAACGAAAAGAGCCCUGGAAUGUGAAGAGACAGGAGGCAGCAGACGGACAUCCAGAGAUGGGAUUUCACCAUGCUACUCAGGCUUGUCUCGAACUCCUGGGCUCAAGCGAUCUGCCUGCCUCAGCCUCCCAAAGUGCUGGGAUUACAGGUGUGAACCACCGUGCCCAGCCAGGCCUCAAUGUUUCUGUGGACAAAUUCACUGCUAUGUCUUCUCAUUUUACCCAAGACCUUCUGCCAGAGCAGGGCAUACAAGAUGCAUUCCCAAAAACAAUACUGAGAGGAUAUGGAAAUUGUGGCCUUGAUAAUUUAUAUUUAAGGAAAGACUGGGAAAGUUUAGAUGAGUGUAAGUUGCAAAAAGAUUAUAAUGGACUUAACCAAUGUUCAUCAACUACCCAUAGCAAAAUCUUUCAAUAUAAUAAAUAUGUUAAAAUCUUUGAUAACUUUUCAAAUUU